GAGAGUUUGAUCCUGGCUCAGGACGAACGUUGGCGACGUGCCUAACACAUGCAAGUCGAGCGAAGAACUUACUAUGAAAUCUUCGGAUAGAUUAGUAAACUUCUUAGCGGCGGAUGGGUGAGUAACGCGUGAGGAACCUGCCUUUUACAAGGGGAUAGCCUCGGGAAACCGGGAUUAAUACCCUAUGAAACUUAAAAUUCACAUGAAUAUUAAGUUAAAGCAUUUAGCGGUAUUAGAUGGUCUCGCGUCCCAUUAGCUAGUUGGUAAGGUAAUGGCUUACCAAGGCAACGAUGGGUAGCCGGCUUGAGACGAGUGAACGGACGGCCACACUGGAACUGAGAUACGGUCCAGAUUCCUACGGGAGGCAGCAGUGGGGAAUAUUGCACAAUGGAGGAAACUCUGAUGCAGCGACGUCGCGUGAACGAUGAAGGCUUUCGAGUCGUUAAAGCUCUGUCCUAUGGGACGAUUAUGACGGUACCAUAGGAGAAGCCC
Molecule: ribosomal RNA, 492 nt
Filed under: uncultured manure pit bacterium P34
Lineage: Bacteria
Description: bacterial SSU rRNA
Rfam family: Bacterial small subunit ribosomal RNA
Source: RNAcentral